RNAcentral lists this small RNA (264 nucleotides) under Pan troglodytes (chimpanzee). RNAcentral's name for it is "processed transcript". The record is from RNAcentral. Lineage: Eukaryota; Metazoa; Chordata; Mammalia; Primates; Hominidae.
GCAGUUACAGAAUUGUGACACGUCCAAAUUACAGACAAAUGCUCUUCUCAAAACUUCUCUGCAUUUUGGAAAGCUCUGCAUUUCACCGAGCUUAAGUUGCUAUCUAUGUAUCUAUAUUUCAGACUGCCUCUUUAAGCUAUGUCCCAUGAACCGCUACUCUGCCCAAAAGCAGUUCUGGAAAGCCGCUAAGCCUGGGGCCAACAGCACAACAGACGCAGUGCUACUCAACAAACUGCACCAUGCUGCAGACUUGGAAAAGAAGCA